CGAACACGAGCCGGCUCGCUCAUUUGCCAGCCCUACUGCUACUAGCUUUGUUUUGCAUUAACAUUUCAGGACAAUUAUCGACUGUCCCUAGCGCAAGUGGCAAAGGGCUUGGUGGUUGGUACCCGAGGUCCCAAGUUCGAAUCCUAGUUGAUUCAUAUUUCCAGCUAAGUUUAUUUCUAAAUAAAAUAAAAAAAAAUGGGUAGCGUGCUACCUAUCUCUCUCAAAAAAAAAAAAAAAAAAAAACAUUUCGGGAAAAUUAGCGCUGAAAAGAACUCAAAUGCAUCUCUUGGCGAGGUGCAAACGAUGGAAUACGUCUUAUUACAGUGCUGCACACACUUCUGGAACAUAAACUUUUUAGUGCUACACACACUUCUAGAACAUAAAUUUUUUACUUACUACAUUAAUUUCUGACUUUUCUAGCGCUCAUCGAUAAUUGUGAUUUUACUCUUUUUUAGGCUUUCUUAGUCACAACUUCUUCUAACAAUCACCAAAGAGGAAGGAUACAACACUAAAACAUUGGAAGGGAAUGUUUGUAUUAGCAAUUGGGUCUAAGAGUACCGAUCGCUCCUAAUAUAAGUGGCAGAGGAUUUGAUGGUUGAUAUUCGAAGUUUUAAGUUCAAAUCUUAGUUGAUUUAUAUUUUUCAAAUCUUAGUUGAUUUAUAUAUUUCAGCUAAAUUUAUUUCUAAAAAAAUAAAACGAAACAAAUUGUAAAAAUAAAAAAUAAAAUAAAAUAAAAUAAAGAUGCUAGCAUUA
RNAcentral lists this long non-coding RNA (753 nucleotides) under Ananas comosus (pineapple). RNAcentral describes it as "long non-coding RNA (ACOM_LNC013873)". The record is from RNAcentral. Lineage: Eukaryota; Viridiplantae; Streptophyta; Magnoliopsida; Poales; Bromeliaceae.